Molecule: ribosomal RNA, 500 nt
Filed under: uncultured bacterium
Lineage: Bacteria
Description: partial 16S ribosomal RNA
Rfam family: Bacterial small subunit ribosomal RNA
Source: RNAcentral
AUUGAACGCUGGCGGAAUGCUUUACACAUGCAAGUCGAACGGCAGCACGGACUUCGGUCUGGUGGCGAGUGGCGAACGGGUGAGUAACAUAUCGGAACGUAUCCAAUAAUGGGGGAUAACGAGUCGAAAGAUUCGCUAAUACCGCAUACGCCCUACGGGGGAAAGCUGGGGACCUUCGGGCCUGGCGUUAAUGGACGGGCCGAUAUCUGAUUAGCUAGUUGGUGAGGGAAAGGCUCACCAAGGCGACGAUCAGUAGCUGGUCUGAGAGGACGACCAGCCACACUGGAACUGAGACACGGUCCAGACUCCUACGGGAGGCAGCAGUGGGGAAUUUUGGACAAUGGGCGCAAGCCUGAUCCAGCCAUUCCGCGUGAGUGAAGAAGGCCUUCGGGUUGUAAAGCUCUUUCGCAAGGGAAGAAAACUUAGCCACUAACAUUGGUUGAGGUUGACGGUACCUUGAUAAGAAGCACCGGCUAACUACGUGCCAGCAGCCGCAGUAA